UAAGCCUGACAGUAGAGUGGGGGGUGGGUAUUGAGAGGCAAGGUCCUAGCUAUGGAGAGGUUGUAAGCACAAAGGAUGUACGAGUUCAGGCCCUUCUCGGAAGAAGUAACAGCCCUACGUCUCGGAGCCCGGAGGCGGUCGAGUGGAUUAUGAAUGUAUGGAUUACAAGGUGCCGAACCCUUCUGCCCGUGGAGGGGGGUGGCUUAUAUAGAGUGCGCCAGGACCCCAGCCAGCCCACGUAGGAGAAGGUUUAAGGUGAGUUAAGUCUGGGCGUUACUGGUAACGCCUCACAUAAAGUGCCUUUACUAUCAUAAAGUCUACUUAAUUACAGACCGUUGCGGUGCAGAGUGCCUCUUGACCUCCUGGUGGUCGAGUGCGUCUUAGUGGUCGAGUCCUUCAGGCCAGUCGAGUAUGUCCUCGUUGGUCGAGUGAGUCCUCGUUGGUCGACUGGAAGGCGACCUCUUCUAGGGAUGACUUAGGGUAAGUUACUUGGGACAGGUCCGUGACCCUACCCUAGGUACGUAACCCCAUCAUUAGCCCCCGAAUGGAUUGAGGCUUCGAGUGAAGAAGGAGUUGACGUCGUUUCCGAUUAACUUUUGCGCUCUAGUUGUGCGCUGUUCUGGAUCAAAGAAUCUCUUCGUCGACAAGGAGCAAUUCGUCUUCGGUCGACUCGAUCCAUUCUGUUUUUGCGUCGAGUGAUCUUCCGAGCUUCGUCGAUCUCCGAGCGACGGAUCGCCGGAAUCGCCGCGUCUGACAGGCAGAUUUGUUGUUCGCGGAUUCUGCGGGGUGCGAAAUUUGGGGGCGCGCGCGAAGCGGGGCGGACCGCGGCGUUCGGAUGGGACGGGGAGUAGACGCCUCGAUCUCCGCGCCGCCUUUUUCGCCACGUAUCCAGUCUCCAUAACUGCUCUCAGAUAUGAUUAGAUCGACCGGGCCCACACGUCAGCCACUCGGAAGGGACCUUAUAAAUGUGCCUGGCGAGGAUUUCUGUGCUGCGCCUCCGCAUUCUCCCUCUCUCCCUCUGCUCUCUUCCUCCCUGCUCAGCGUGCCUGCCCUCGCUUCCGCACCGCUCCCCUUCGUGCAUCCCACCGGCGACCAUGGUCAAGGAGAAGACGGCGGCGUUGGAGCGUGCCAAGAAGGCGUCGGCAUCGGAGAAGGCGAAGGGGAGAUCCACCAGCCGCCGAGGAUCCUCGUCCAGAUCCCGCCUGCCGAAAGGCUGGGUCCAGGGCGACUGGAUCCAGUCGACCAUCACGGAGAAGGACCUCCUCGACAUGGCCGACGAGGGUUUGAUCCCUCACGGAGCCGCGAGGUUGCCGGGGAAGGAGUGGCAGCCACAGCCAGAAGAGGGUGAGUGUGUGCUCCUGGCCACUCAUGUCGAUCGGGGGUUUUCCUUGCCACCGAGCAUUUUCUUCCGGGGUUUCCUGAAUUUCUUUGGGGCGCAGCUCCACCACUUUACCCCAAACUCCAUUGCCUACCUUGCUGCGUUCGUGUCCAUGUGCGAGGGUUUCUUGGGCUGUCGACCGCACUGGGGUCUGUUCAAACGUAUCUUCACGUGUCGCUCUCAGACCGUGAAGAAGGCGAGCCCAGGUGACGAGAAGACCCGAGUCGUCCAAAUGUGUGGGGGCCUGGGGAUUCAGGUGAGGAACAAUAGCACCUUCCCGCCCAUGUCUUUUCCCGAGUCCGUCAGGGGCUGGCAGUCGACUUGGUUCUACUGCCAGGUCCAGUCGACGCCAGGGCAGUCGAGUGGACUCCCUCCGUUUACCAUGGACCGAGUGAACAAGCCCUCCCCUCUGAAGCUGAUUCCGGAGGAGAAAGCCGACGUGAAGAUGUUGAUGGAGCGCGUGGUGCAGCUGGUUCGGGACGGUGUGACAGGCAUGGACCUCCUGGAGGUUUUCCUCAAGCGUCGCAUCCAGCCUCUCCAGUUCAGGAGCCACUGCAUGUGGUUGUACUGCGGGCCCGAAGACGAGACUAGAGUCCAUCCAGAAGAAGUCGACGAUGUCACUCUGGAGAGAUGGAUGGCAGCCAUUACCGGAAACAGGGACAACCCGCGCGGAGCCAGAAGAAUCCCUCCACUCGACCACGACAGCAUCCCAAACAAGGUACACUUGCUCUGCUUUCCAUUGUCCUUGUCGUAUUCAUUUCUGCUAACCCUGUCGACUGGUCGACUGAUCCUUGUUUGGGCGACUGCUAGGCCUUCACCGAGCUAUACUCGAUGCCCAAUGGGGCACAAGCUUCGACUGAGGAAGGCGAGGCGAGCGGGGGCGAGGCGAGCGGGGGCGAGGCGAGCGGGGGCGAGAGCCAGGAAGAGGAGGAAUGGGACUCGGAUGCUGCAGGGGAUGAUGACGACGAUGAUGAUGAUGAAGGUGAUGAAGAUGACAUCGAGGACGAGGAAGAAGAGGAAGAGGAGGUCGUUCCACCGCGCUCAGAAAGGCGGUCGAAGCUUGUCCACGACCCUUCGACCGAACGUGGUAAGGGGGUUGCGACCGCCACCCAGUCGACCAAGCGCCCCCGGACCACCUCUCCGGCGCCGACUGAAAAGGCGCCGAAGCAGCCUAGGGCGGCUUCAUCGAAGCCGACCAAGCUCCUGCCGAAGAUGAAGGUGUCCAUCCCCACCAUUUUAGGGUAAUUGUGUUGCUCAUAUUUUCUUAUUCUUAUGCGAACUUUAUCUCUGGUCGACACUGAGGUUAGUCGACUGCUCCUUUGGUGUUGCAGUGCUGCUACUUCUGAGACCUCAGCCCGGGCCGACGACCACGAGAUGGAGGAUGCCGCAACUUCGAAUCCAGGUGCUGUGUUCUUAAUACCAUUCUUAGUCGACUGACUCGCGAUCUCUGAUCCUGACCCUUCUCUGCAGCUCCACCCAACACUGUUAUCGAUCUUCCUGAUGAUGAUGAGGAUGAAGAGCCGCUGAAGCACAGGAGGAGUCGAAAAGCGUCCGCCAGCAAGGUGCCUCAGGAUGUGUCAGCGCCUGAAAUUCUGACUGUGGAGGGAGAGAACACCACUCGACACACGGUGACCUUCGCGACUCCACUGACGAGUGCUCAGCAGCCCUCCCUCUUCACGACUCACCACGUCCCAGAGGACCAAGCUGGUGCGGCGAAGGAGGCGAUACGCCAGGCGGGACUCAUGAUGGAGCAGCUGAAGACCAUCCGGGAUGCGAGCCAGGCAGCUUAUGACGCCAGCUCUGCCCUCCAAAGCAAUGUCCAGGUCAGUCGACUGCUGUUUGUUCUGCUGGAUAUGCUACCAAAAACUUUUCUUUUCCGGGAUUUAUAUUAGUCACCCACUGGGAGUGUCGAAUAAACUCCGUGUUAGCGGGGGCACGCUGAGUGCACCCGCUGGGUGUAGUCCCCAAGGCUAAGGUCGACUGCUGGCAGUCGGCCUUAGGCUUUAUAAUGUCAAUCUUUCUAUCAGUCGACUGGUCGACUGGAUUUCGCAAACCGGUGGGGGCACGCUGAGUGCACCCACUGGGUGUAGUCCCCGAGACUGUGGUCGACUGCUUGCAGUUGAUCACAGUCUUAGAUAAUGCGUCUCGCACACUGUUUUUUUUUUUGAGGUCGACUGGUCGACUUUGUCUUCGACAGGAUUAGUGGGGGCACGCUGAGUGCACCCACUGGGUGUAGUCCCCGAGACUACGGUCGAAUACUUGUAUUCGGCUGUAGUCUUAGAAACGUGUGUUUUUCCCUUUUUCACUCGGAAGUGAAUUAUUUUUGACGUUUGGUCGAUUGGUUCUUCGCAGAACUCCUGUGAUCUUGUGGCUCGCUACUCAGAGCUAGAACAGAAACAUACUCAAGUCGAGCUGAGCUUGAAGCUGGUUCAGGAGAAGCUGACAAAGGCGAAGGAGGAGACUGAAGGUAUGUUUGGUGAGACCUUGACGACUGCUUUUCCUCUUGCUUGUUUCAACACCUGAUCUUGCCGUGUCUUGCAGGUAAGGUAAAGGAGGCCCAGCAGAAGAAAGACCUUGAGCUAGCUGAGAAGAUCAAGCUUGCUGACGAGAAGUUAGCUUCAGUCACCAAGCUUGAACAAGACAAUACCAACCUGAAGACUGCUCUUGGGAUUGCCAACAAAGAAGUCAGUCGACUGAGAACUGACAAAGCUGCCUUGACCGAUCAAGUCAGCAAAUUGACUGAGAAGAAGACUGCGCUGGAGGCCUUCCUGAGUGGCUUUGCCAAGAAGCUGUUUCUUAUGCUCGAAGGUAAACCUCCAUGUUUGGCAAGUAUUUCUGACUGUGGCUUCUUCCAUUCGACUAUCCCCUUGACUUAGUGAUCACUCUUGCAGAAUUUUGUCAAAACUUUGAAGAAGAAACCAGCCGACUGGAGCCAAACCUUGACCCUGUCAAUUCUCCGGUAAAUGACGAGGUUGCCAUGGAUAUCUUCCGACUGGAAUCUCGCGUUGCAUCCGUCGUGGAUUAUCUCGCAAGGCUGAAGGCCGCCACAUCUCGCAUCGACUCGACGCUCUGGCCUGAGGAGACACUUCAGAAUGACCUUGAGUCAUUAAUGGCCCGCUUGAACACGAUCCCUGGUCGAGUGCUGGAAUGGAAGAAGUCCUCAGCUCGGUGUGGUGCAGAUGUUGCUCUGUGUCUGGCCCGAGUCCACUGCAAGGAUGCACGAGAGGAGAAGCUGGCGGCUCUUCGGGUGGCCAAUACCAAGAAGCACGACUUCAGGUCCUUCAUGGAGACUUUCCUUGCAGCUGCCACUCGGAUCGCCGACGGAAUUGACCUUGAUGAAUUCGUCGCACCUUCCAGCCCUCCACAGGAGGGGUAAAAAACUUCUUAUGGCUCGACUCUUUUAAAUUUGCCUCGGUAUGCCGAGUGGAAUUGUAUCCGACAAACUUUAACAGGCUUGACGCCUGAGCACUUUUGGUUCCUUUAGACAUCGAUUCGAACUUGAAUUUGGCGCUUGAAUAUGGUUGCCUUCGGCUCAAAAUGUCCUUUGCAGGUUCAAAGCAAGGUGCCUGUGCUUAGGCGAGCGCUUGGACUGUAGCUAAGCCUUCGAGCGUGAGGAUCGCUCUUCACUCGGUAGGGUUUUUAUAACUUAGGCGAAACGGAUUCGCAGCUAAGCCUCCGAGUGGAAGGCUGGCUUACCACUCGGUAGGAUUUUGAUAAACUUAGGCGAGUGCUUGGACUGCAGCUAAGCCCCCGAGUGAGAGGAUUGCUCACCACUCGGUAGGAUUUUUAUAACUUAGGCGAGCACGAGGCUGCAGCUAAGCCUCCGAGUGAGAGGAUUGCUCACCACUCGGUAGGAUUUUUAUAACUUAGGCGAGUGCUUGGACUGCAGCUAAGCCUCCGAGUGAGAGGAUUGCUCACCACUCGGUAGGAUUUUGAUAAACUUAGGCGAGUGCUUGGACUGCAGCUAAGCCCCCGAGUGAGAGGAUUGCUCACCACUCGGUAGGAUUUUUAUAACUUAGGCGAGCACGAGGCUGCAGCUAAGCCUCCGAGUGAGAGGAUUGNNNNNNNNNNNNNNNNNNNNNNNNNNNNNNNNNNNNNNNNNNNNNNNNNNNNNNNNNNNNNNNNNNNNNNNNNNNNNNNNNNNNNNNNNNNNNNNNNNNNGGUAUUGAGAGGCAAGGUCCUAGCUAUGGAGAGGUUGUAAGCACAAAGGAUGUACGAGUUCAGGCCCUUCUCGGAAGAAGUAACAGCCCUACGUCUCGGAGCCCGGAGGCGGUCGAGUGGAUUAUGAAUGUAUGGAUUACAAGGUGCCGAACCCUUCUGCCCGUGGAGGGGGGUGGCUUAUAUAGAGUGCGCCAGGACCCCAGCCAGCCCACGUAGGAGAAGGUUUAAGGUGAGUUAAGUCUGGGCGUUACUGGUAACGCCUCACAUAAAGUGCCUUUACUAUCAUAAAGUCUACUUAAUUACAGACCGUUGCGGUGCAGAGUGCCUCUUGACCUCCUGGUGGUCGAGUGCGUCUUAGUGGUCGAGUCCUUCAGGCCAGUCGAGUAUGUCCUCGUUGGUCGAGUGAGUCCUCGUUGGUCGACUGGAAGGCGACCUCUUCUAGGGAUGACUUAGGGUAAGUUACUUGGGACAGGUCCGUGACCCUACCCUAGGUACGUAACCCCA
Molecule: long non-coding RNA, 6043 nt
Filed under: Triticum aestivum (bread wheat)
Lineage: Eukaryota; Viridiplantae; Streptophyta; Magnoliopsida; Poales; Poaceae
Description: long non-coding RNA (TAES_LNC010413)
Source: RNAcentral